UACGUAGGGUCCGAGCGUUGUCCGGAUUUAUUGGGCGUAAAGAGCUCGUAGGCGGUUCCGUAAGUCAGAUGUGAAAACUCAGGGCUCAACCCGGAGACGCCAUCUGAUACUGCGGUGACUGGAGUCUGGUAGGGGAACACGGAAUUCCUGGUGUAGCGGUGAAAUGCGCAGAUAUCAGGAGGAACACCGAUGGCGAAGGCGGCGCUCUGGGCCGGAACUGACGCUGAGGAGCGAAAGCGUGGGUAGCAAACAGG
RNAcentral lists this ribosomal RNA (254 nucleotides) under uncultured bacterium. Its description in RNAcentral is "partial 16S ribosomal RNA". It matches the Rfam family "Bacterial small subunit ribosomal RNA", at positions 524 to 776 of the family's 1533-position model. The record is from RNAcentral.